Long non-coding RNA from Ochotona curzoniae (black-lipped pika), 102 nucleotides. RefSeq lists it as uncharacterized. The transcript is spliced from 3 exons. Lineage: Eukaryota; Metazoa; Chordata; Mammalia; Lagomorpha; Ochotonidae. The record is from RefSeq and is a predicted model, not a curated record.
UUUUAAGUUAUUUUCAUCUUAUUGAUAACUAAACCUGUUAACGAAGUUCAGUAAAUUCCUGGGAAGCCUCUUAAGACAACAGCCAAACUGAACAUUUUUAUC